Molecule: long non-coding RNA, 372 nt
Organism: Zalophus californianus (California sea lion)
Lineage: Eukaryota; Metazoa; Chordata; Mammalia; Carnivora; Otariidae
Exons: 5
Source: RefSeq, a predicted model, not a curated record
CCGGCCUUCAGACCCUUCUCCCGGAGGCGGGGGCCACAGGGUGUCGGGAGUGUUCCCAGAUGCCCCACGCGCCUUCGCUGUGCUCGCCUUCAGCUCGGAUUUCCUGAUUCUUCCAGCUAAUGAUGAUGCCUUCCUUCCUUUCAACACUUCAUACCCCUGGUUUGAUUUGAGAAAUACAGUAAUGUUUUCAUGAAGGAAAAAAGCAUAUAAGCCUAUGAGCUUCGCUUGGACUUGAGCCCUGGGAAAAUCACCAAGUUGCACACUGUGGUACAGAAAAGCUGAAUGCAUCAGAUGUUAAUGACCAGACAGCCAAAAAGAGAGACACAGCAAGAGAGAGAACACAAGCAGGGGGAGUGGGAGAGGGAGAAGCAG